GAGGCCCCUGCAGCAGCAGCGGCGUGGUCAGAGCGAGCUUCGGAGAAGCAGUGGUGGGUUCCAUGUGAUGGUGGAGUAGGAGGCAGGUCUCCGCGGUUCAUCUGUGUUGCUCUAAAUGACACUGUUUCAUUAUUUUGAUGGCUGGAGAAUAUUUCCUAGUGUAUGUAUAUGAGAGUUUCUUGAUCUCUUUAUCUGUGGAUGAACAGCUACUUUGAAACAUAUGGUACAUUUGUGUUAAGGCUAGUCACCCUGCUGUGGAAUAGAAGGCCAGAAUUGAUCAGUCUCAUCUGAGAGUAACUUUGUACCCAUCACUGAUUCCUUCUGAGACUGCCUCCACUUCCCCAGCAGCCUCUGGUUUCUUCAUGUGGCUGCAGAUGGCAGGAUUUCCCAAAGGUUUCUGGCUGAAACAUAUUCCGUGGUGUAUCUGUACAGCAGUUUCCUCAUCCCUGCAGCUGUGUUUGAACAGGUCAUUUACCAUGCUGUCCUCCAGGUUCAACAGUAUGGCUCCAAAGGAUGAAAUUUCAUUCUGAUUUUCUGGCUGAAGACUAUUCUCUUUGUGUAUGUCCACCACAGUUACUUUAUCCCUUCAUCUGUGGAUGGGCAGUCUCGCUGUAUUGCCCAGGCUGGAGUGCAGUGGCAUGAUCUCAGCUCACUGCAAGCUCUGCUUCCUGGGUUCACGCCAUUCUCCUGCCUCAGCCUCCUGAGUAGCUGGGAUUACAGGCACCCGCCACCACGCCCAGGAAAGAAAAAAGAAGAAAACAAACCUCCAUACGAGAAUGGGUCUAAAGGAACUUCCCAAACCUCCAUGAUUUUGCAGGAAACAAGAUAAAGGUAUUAAGCAUCAGUUGUCGAUUCAUUCAUUUCACACAUUUCACUAGUGACACUGAAUACUGCA
This 895-nucleotide long non-coding RNA is filed under the name Homo sapiens (human). Its description in RNAcentral is "HSALNT0375506". Lineage: Eukaryota; Metazoa; Chordata; Mammalia; Primates; Hominidae. The record is from RNAcentral.